AACGACUCUCGGCAACGGAUAUCUCGGCUCUCGCAUCGAUGAAGAACGUACAAAUGGAUACUUGGUGUGAAUUGCAGAAUCCCGUGAACCAUCGAGUCUUUGAACGCAAGUUGCGCCCGAAGCCUUCUGGCCGAGGGCACGUCUGCCUGGGCGUCACGC
Molecule: ribosomal RNA, 159 nt
Filed under: Montia australasica
Lineage: Eukaryota; Viridiplantae; Streptophyta; Magnoliopsida; Caryophyllales; Montiaceae
Description: 5.8S ribosomal RNA
Rfam family: 5.8S ribosomal RNA
About the family: 5.8S ribosomal RNA (5.8S rRNA) is a component of the large subunit of the eukaryotic ribosome. It is transcribed by RNA polymerase I as part of the 45S precursor that also contains 18S and 28S rRNA.
Source: RNAcentral